This 744-nucleotide ribosomal RNA is filed under the name Triticum aestivum (bread wheat). Its description in RNAcentral is "partial small subunit ribosomal RNA". Lineage: Eukaryota; Viridiplantae; Streptophyta; Magnoliopsida; Poales; Poaceae. The record is from RNAcentral.
AUGGCUAGGAUAGAAUAUCAAAGAACCGAGUCGGACAAGUGGACUGGCACCAUUUGUCCCACGGUACUUAGAAAACUGAAGAAAAGCAUAAAUGCCUCUGCCUAUUGUCAUGCUGCUUGGAAUGGUGAAGAUUUAUAUGAGGUGACUCAUAGAGAACAUAGGUUCCAAGUGAAUCUAGAAGAGUGGACAUGUAGUUGCAGAUAUUGGCAACUAUCUGGUCUUCCAUGCCCUCAUGCUAUAUCAUGCAUUUUUUUCAAAACCAACAACAUAGAUGAUUACAUUGACAAGUGCUAUAGCAUAGAAGCAUUCAAGAAAACUUAUGCUUUUUGCCUUCAACCUGUGGAAGGCAGACCUGCAUGGCCUGUGUCUGAGAGGCCAAGACCUAAUCCACCAGGGGAGAUUAUGAUGCCCGGUAGGAAGAAAAAGCAAAGGACUAGAGAGCAACAAGAGAAGCCAAGGUGUGCCACUAGGGUUUCUAAGAGAGGUACAAAGAUAAGAUGCAGCAUGUGCAGGCUACAUGGGCACAACAGGACAUCAUGCAAAGCAAGAAAUGGCACAGGGAGUUCAAAUAGACCAAUGCAGCAGCCUCCUGAGCAAGGCCAAGGUCCUACUAGAAGCAAAGCACCAUCAGCUGCUUCCAAACAGCCUGCUGCAAGCCAAACUGCAACAAGUAGCCAACCACCAUGUGCUAGUCAAGGGCCAGAUAUGGUACACUACCCAGGAAAUAUGUAUGAACAAACCUGA